This 497-nucleotide ribosomal RNA is filed under the name uncultured bacterium. RNAcentral describes it as "partial 16S ribosomal RNA". It matches the Rfam family "Bacterial small subunit ribosomal RNA", at positions 28 to 507 of the family's 1533-position model. The record is from RNAcentral.
GAUGAACGCUGGCGGCGUGCCUAAUACAUGCAAGUCGAGCGAACGGACGAGAAGCUUGCUUUUCUGAUGUUAGCGGCGGACGGGUGAGUAACACGUGGAUAACCUACCUAUAAGACUGGGAUAACUUCGGGAAACCGGAGCUAAUACCGGAUAAUAUUUUGAACCGCAUGGUUCAAAAGUGAAAGACGGUCUUGCUGUCUCUUAUAGAUGGAUCCGCGCUGCAUUAGCUAAUUGGUAAGGUAACGGCUUACCAAGGCAACGAUGCAUAGCCGACCUGAGAGGGUGAUCGGCCACACUGGAACUGAGACACGGUCCAGACUCCUACGGGAGGCAGCAGUAGGGAAUCUUCCGCAAUGGGCGAAAGCCUGACGGAGCAACGCCGCGUGAGUGAUGAAGGUCUUCGGAUCGUAAAACUCUGUUAUUAGGGAAGAACAUAUGUGUAAGUAACUGUGCACAUCUUGACGGUACCUAAUCAGAAAGCCACGGCUAACUACGUG